UACGUAGGGGGCGAGCGUUGUCCGGAAUUAUUGGGCGUAAAGCGCGCGCAGGCGGCCGGUUAAGUCAGAUGUGAAAGGCUGCGGCUCAACCGCAGAGCGGCAUCUGAAACUGGCCGGCUUGAGUGCAGGAGAGGGGAGCGGAAUUCCCGGUGUAGCGGUGGAAUGCGUAGAGAUCGGGAGGAACACCAGUGGCGAAGGCGGCUCUCUGGCCUGUAACUGACGCUGAGGCGCGAAAGCGUGGGGAGCGAAC
Molecule: ribosomal RNA, 250 nt
Filed under: uncultured bacterium
Lineage: Bacteria
Description: partial 16S ribosomal RNA
Rfam family: Bacterial small subunit ribosomal RNA
Source: RNAcentral